This 907-nucleotide ribosomal RNA is filed under the name uncultured bacterium. RNAcentral describes it as "bacterial SSU rRNA". It matches the Rfam family "Bacterial small subunit ribosomal RNA", at positions 9 to 873 of the family's 1533-position model. The record is from RNAcentral.
GAGUUUGAUCAUGGCUCAGAAUGAACGCUGGCGGCGUGCUUAACACAUGCAAGUCGCACGAGAACUCUUCUGCUUGCAGAAGAUAGUAAAGUGGCGCACGGGUGAGUAACGCGUGGGCAAUCUACCUCUGAAUUGGGGAUAACCCCGCGAAAGCGGGGCUAAUACCGAAUAAUAUCCCGAGAACUUAGGCUUUUGGGAUCAAAGGUGGCCUCUACAUGUAAGCUACUGUUUAGAGAUGAGCCCGCGUACCAUUAGCUUGUUGGUAGGGUAAUGGCCUACCAAGGCAACGAUAGUUAGCUGGUCUGAGAGGAUGAUCAGCCACACUGGAACUGACACACGGUCCAGACUCCUACGGGAGGCAGCAGUGAGGAAUUUUGCGCAAUGGGGGAAACCCUGACGCAGCAACGCCGCGUGAGUGAUGAAGGCUUUCGAGUCGUAAAGCUCUGUCAAGUGAGAAGAACCUAUCCCGCGUUAAUAUCGCGGGAUACUGACGGUAUCACUGAAGGAAGCACCGGCUAACUCCGUGCCAGCAGCCGCGGUAAUACGGAGGGUGCAAGCGUUAUUCGGAAUUAUUGGGCGUAAAGGGCGCGUAGGCGGUCUUUUAAGUCAGAUGUGAAAGCCCGGGGCUCAACCCCGGAAGUGCAUUUGAAACUAAGGGACUUGAGUAUGGGAGAGGGAAGUGGAAUUCCUGGUGUAGAGGUGAAAUUCGUAGAUAUCAGGAGGAACACCGGUGGCGAAGGCGACUUCCUGGACCAAUACUGACGCUGAGGCGCGAAGGCGUGGGGAGCAAACAGGAUUAGAUACCCUGGUAGUCCACGCAGUAAACGGUGAACACUAGGUGUAGCGGGUAUUGACCCCUGCUGUGCCGCAGUUAACGCAUUAAGUGUCCGCCUGGGAGUAGCGGCCU